UACGGGGGGAGCAAGCGUUGUUCGGAUUUACUGGGCGUAAAGGGCGCGUAGGCGGCCAUGACAAGUCACUUGUGAAAUCUCCGGGCUUAACUCGGAACGGUCAAGUGAUACUGUCGGGCUAGAGUGCAGAAGGGGCAACUGGAAUUCUCGGUGUAGCGGUGAAAUGCGUAGAUAUCGAGAGGAACACCUGCGGCGAAGGCGGGUUGCUGGGCUGACACUGACGCUGAGGCGCGAAAGCCAGGGGAGCGAACGGG
This 254-nucleotide ribosomal RNA is filed under the name uncultured bacterium. RNAcentral's name for it is "partial 16S ribosomal RNA". It matches the Rfam family "Bacterial small subunit ribosomal RNA", at positions 524 to 776 of the family's 1533-position model. The record is from RNAcentral.